This 285-nucleotide ribosomal RNA is filed under the name Triticum aestivum (bread wheat). RNAcentral's name for it is "partial small subunit ribosomal RNA". The record is from RNAcentral. Lineage: Eukaryota; Viridiplantae; Streptophyta; Magnoliopsida; Poales; Poaceae.
AUGUUGAAGACGACGGGCGCGCAGCACAUGUGGGUGACGCCGUAGCGGGCGAUGGCGCGGUAGACCUCAGCGGGGCGGUUCUCGCGGAUGCAGACGUUGACGCCGCCGCGCGCCGCCAUGCCCCAGGUGAAGGUCCAGCCGUUGCAGUGGAACAUGGGGAGCGUCCACAGAUAGACCGGCUCGGUGCCCACCUCCCAGGACAUGAGCAAACUGGUGGUGCUGAGGUAAGCGCCGCGGUGGCUGUAGACCACGCCCUUGGGCGCGGACGUGGUGCCGGACGUAUAG